Molecule: long non-coding RNA, 793 nt
Organism: Brassica napus (rape)
Lineage: Eukaryota; Viridiplantae; Streptophyta; Magnoliopsida; Brassicales; Brassicaceae
Exons: 3
Source: RefSeq, a predicted model, not a curated record
ACUGCUGCCUGGUUAAACACCCUAUUUGCUUUGGUUAUCCGAAUAUGAAAGACUGGGAGAGAAGUAAUCAGUUCAUUGUCCAAGCUUAUAUAAAAGGUCUUGACUACAUCGAUCUUGAGGCAUCAUCAUGUCCACUGUCUCAAGUUUGAGCAAGCAAUGAGUUCUAUGAAGCACCCAAGAGGUAUCAAUGUUUGAUAACCGCAACAAUUUUUUUUUGGUUUUCAUUUUCUUUUCCUUCUGAUAUUAUUUCAUCACUGAUAUAGGAAAGCUGCUUUAUUCUAUGAUACCAUCGUCUAUACGUACAUAACUAUGGUUGAUGUAGAUAAGUAUUUGGAAUAUUCUACAUCAAUGGUGAAGAAUAAAGGAUUUAGCUUGGAUUCGUGUGUUUGUGACUCAUUAUUUAUUCAAAGCGCAAACCUACUCAAGUGUUUGAUCCUAAUACAAAUGACCUAGGAUAGGUUACUACUUCCGAUAGACAGAUCUGAUAAAGUGACCUGCACAAAGCUACAAUCAUUCAUAGAAGAACUCAAGCAGCUUAUCUACUUCACCACUCAUAUGGUGAUUGUGGUCAUUACCAAGUUAACCUUUCAGAUCGUCUCAACGGGUGAUGGUGGAUCAUCUUGGAGACCUCGCUGUCACCAGCGCCUCUCUCGCCUCCUCCUCCUGCAAUAUCAUUGGCUUCAGUUUUAUUGUAAAAGAUCUUUAUCUUUCCUUUUAUCCAAGUUGAUACAUGUAUCUAUAUUUCUUAUAGUUACAAGAACCUUGGAAACUGCACCUCCACAUCACUUGAUUU